Molecule: long non-coding RNA, 786 nt
Organism: Camelina sativa (false flax)
Lineage: Eukaryota; Viridiplantae; Streptophyta; Magnoliopsida; Brassicales; Brassicaceae
Source: RefSeq, a predicted model, not a curated record
UCUCUCUUUCUCUCAGACAAAUAUAGCCGUUGCCGACUUACCGAUUACAGAAAUCAGAGUCCGUCAAAAACCCUAAAUUGAGAGAUUCCUUCCUCCACUGCCUUUUUUUUUAUAUAAAUAACCCCAAAUUUCUAACUUUCUCUCAAUCACUUCAAUCUGCGAAGAACAACAAUUCUCUCUCUCUCUCUCUUGCGCUCGGCUCUCUCUCUCUCUCUGCUCGAAUUUACUAACGCUUCCCAUCUCAGCAGGAUUCAGUUUGAUUCAUCUUUUAUCUAAUCGCUCGUUUAAUCUUUCAACUUAGAUCUUCUAAUCCGUUUCGUUUCGUAUAAUCCCCAAUCGCUUUUGUGUGUGUUUUCUAUUUGUCUUUUGUGUUUGUUUGUUUGUUUGUUUGUUGAUAAUAAUGGAUACAGGAUUGAAUCGGUGCCCACUUCAAGAACACUUCAUCAAGAGUCCAUGGUGAAAAUGGCUGAGCUCACCGGUCAUACAUCAAGAGUUCUAUAUAUGGCCCAGAGUCCAGAUGGUUGUACCGUAGCUUCAGCAGCAGGAGACGAGACUCUGAGAUUCUGGAAUGUUUUUGGAGUACUAGAGACCGCCAAAAAAGCUGCUCCAAAAGCAGUUUCCGAGCCAUUUUCUCACGUGAAUCGUAUUCGUUGAAGCUGUGACUAAAACAACAAGGAAACCCAUUGAUUAUUACAGAAAGAAACUAUUUUUUUAUUACUAAAGGAUUCAUUCUUCGUGAACUGUAUUUGACAAAUUGAGAUUGAGUAUAUAAAGAUUACUUGUAUA